RNAcentral lists this long non-coding RNA (1133 nucleotides) under Numida meleagris (helmeted guineafowl). RNAcentral's name for it is "lncRNA (ENSNMEG00000011158.1)". Lineage: Eukaryota; Metazoa; Chordata; Aves; Galliformes; Numididae. The record is from RNAcentral.
AUGUAUGUUUGUUAUUUAUUGCAGUUUCAGAAGCUGCAAAUGAGAUUACACGCUGACCAAGUCAUGCUGGAACAAGUACAACAGGAGAACCAGUGCCUGAAUCAGCAAGUUGCCCAUCUGACGGCUGCAUUUAUGGCACUGCAGAAAAUGGGACCAAAACCCUACUGGAGUCUGAAUGGAAUGAAAGGAAGGGAAAGGAAGAACACUGGUAUACCAGCUUUCUCAAUAUCAAUACAAAAAGAGGAAUGUGAAGAGGAGCAUAAAUAUGCAAUAACUGAUACUGUGAAGAAGAGAGCUGACAAAACUUCGUUAAGAGGAGGAAGAUGUGCAUAUCUAAUCAACAGUAGGAUUUCUUGGGGUGUGGUGUCUGAUCACCAGCUGUUGUGAAAAGGAGACACAGCAACAGGGCAUCAUCUUGGCUAAGGAGAGAAUAGAUUGUUGGACCUUCAGCUUCUCAAAACAGGUGAAGAGGCAUCAGUCUGGUUCCUAAGCACAAAGAAGAAGAAAAAAAGACAGGUAAGGAACAGUAUGCUGCUUGGUACUCUUUGCAGUCCUGAAAAACAGUCAUUUCUUUCUCCACCUUUGUUGCUAAACACCUCCUGAGCAAUUUCUGCUGCUCUUGGAUUUUUUACAGUAUUGCAUGUAAAGAAAUCCUGAUUCCAGAAAUCAAGAGGGUUUGCCUUUAGAGCUAAAUCAUCAAAACGUACCUUUUUAUUCUGAACGGAAGGGUGGCCAUUUCCAUUUCAAAUAAGCAUGGGGAAGGCAUAGAGUUUUUGAGAAGUGAACUUGAUAGGGCCAGAUCAGAAGUGCAGCUGUCUAUGCCAGUGCAGCGCUCUGCUUCAAGUGGAAGAAGAAAGCAGUGUGUAAACUAACUGUGGGAGCUGAGAAGGAGAAGGAGAUGCCAUCUGACCUGGUCCUUUCUUCACUAUUGCAGUCACCACCAUUCUUUUUUAUGAGGAGUCCUAGCAAACUGGUGCAGAUACAUUUUAAAUCUAAAUUUCAAGUCAGCAAGGUCCUGUGGCUGAUAGGCAAUCCUUUUGCCUUUCUGUUUGGUUCUUCUGCAUUAGCUAUUGUUAUGUUCUGAGGCUUCUUUUUUAAGCAAUGCAAUAAAAACAACGCAAACAAGCUGGGCA